This 499-nucleotide ribosomal RNA is filed under the name uncultured bacterium. Its description in RNAcentral is "partial 16S ribosomal RNA". It matches the Rfam family "Bacterial small subunit ribosomal RNA", at positions 355 to 856 of the family's 1533-position model. The record is from RNAcentral.
UGAGGAAUAUUGGUCAAUGGGCGAGAGCCUGAACCAGCCAAAUCGCGUGAAGGAAGACUGCCUUAUGGGUUGUAAACUUCUUUUAUACAGGAAUAAAAAAGGGACGUGUCCCCUUAUUGCAUGUACUGUAUGAAUAAGCAUCGGCUAACUCCGUGCCAGCAGCCGCGGUAAUACGGAGGAUGCGAGCGUUAUCCGGAUUUAUUGGGUUUAAAGGGUGCGCAGGCGGGCUUUUAAGUCAGCGGUGAAAUCUCGGGGCUUAACUCCGAAACUGCCGUUGAAACUGGGAGCCUUGAGUAUGGAUGAAGUAGGCGGAAUUCGUUGUGUAGCGGUGACAUGCUUAGAUAUAACGAGGAACUCCGAUUGCCGUAGGCAGCUUACUAAGCCAUAANUGACGCUCAAGCACGAAAGCGUGGGGAUCAAACAGAUAGAUACCCUGGUAGUCCACGCCGUAAACGAUUGAUCUAGUUGUAUGCGAUAUACCGUAUGUGACUAAGCGAAA